This 850-nucleotide ribosomal RNA is filed under the name uncultured bacterium. RNAcentral describes it as "bacterial SSU rRNA". It matches the Rfam family "Bacterial small subunit ribosomal RNA", at positions 672 to 1533 of the family's 1533-position model. The record is from RNAcentral.
AGUGUAGCGGUGAAAUGCGUAGAUAUUAGGAGGAAUACCAGUGGCGAAGGCGACUUGCUGGACAUAUACUGACGCUGAGGAACGAAAGCAUGGGUAGCAAACAGGAUUAGAUACCCUGGUAGUCCAUGCUGUAAACGAUGAGUGCUAGGUGUCGGGGGUGACCUCGGUGCCGUAGUUAACACAAUAAGCACUCCGCCUGGGGAGUACGUGCGCAAGCAUGAAACUCAAAGGAAUUGACGGGGACCCGCACAAGCAGCGGAGCAUGUGGUUUAAUUCGAAGCAACGCGAAGAACCUUACCAGGACUUGACAUAAUAUUGACCGGUAUAGAGAUAUACCUUUCUCUUCGGAGACAGUAUUACAGGUGGUGCAUGGUUGUCGUCAGCUCGUGUCGUGAGAUGUUGGGUUAAGUCCCGCAACGAGCGCAACCCUUAUCUUUAGUUGCCAGCACGUAAUGGUGGGAACUCUAAAGAGACUGCCGUCGAUAAGACGGAGGAAGGUGGGGAUGACGUCAAAUCAUCAUGCCCUUUAUGUCCUGGGCUACACACGUGCUACAAUGGUUGGAACAAAGAGAAGCUAAACAGCAAUGUCAUGCAAAUCUCAUAAAGCCAAUCUCAGUUCGGAUUGUAGGCUGCAACUCGCCUACAUGAAGUCGGAGUUGCUAGUAAUCGCAGAUCAGAAUGCUGCGGUGAAUGCGUUCCCGGGUCUUGUACACACCGCCCGUCACACCAUGGAAGUUGGCAAUACCCGAAGCCGUCGAGCUAACCGUAAGGAAGCAGGCGUCGAAGGUAGGGUUAAUGACUGGGGUGAAGUCGUAANCAAGGUAACCGAAAGGGCGAANUCGUAACCCGC